AGAGUUUGAUCAUGGCUCAGAACGAACGCUGGCGGCAUGCCUAACACAUGCAAGUCGAACGAGACCUUCGGGUCUAGUGGCGCACGGGUGCGUAACGCGUGGGAAUCUGCCCUUUGCUUCGGAAUAACAGUUAGAAAUGACUGCUAAUACCGGAUGAUGUCUUCGGACCAAAGAUUUAUCGGCAAAGGAUGAGCCCGCGUAGGAUUAGGUAGUUGGUGGGGUAAAGGCCUACCAAGCCGACGAUCCUUAGCUGGUCUGAGAGGAUGAUCAGCCACACUGGGACUGAGACGCGGCCCAGACUCCUACGGGAGGCAGCAGUGGGGAAUAUUGGACAAUGGGCGCAAGCCUGAUCCAGCAAUGCCGCGUGAGUGAUGAAGGCCUUCGGGUCGUAAAGCUCUUUACCAGGGAUGAUAAUGACAGUACCUGGAGAAUAAGCUCCGGCUAACUCCGUG
Molecule: ribosomal RNA, 452 nt
Filed under: uncultured bacterium
Lineage: Bacteria
Description: bacterial SSU rRNA
Rfam family: Bacterial small subunit ribosomal RNA
Source: RNAcentral